AGAAAUGGUGUCAAUUAAGCCCCAUGUUGGGUUGCAGAUGUAGCAUUCUCCAUCCUUUGUGUGGAGUUCACGACCUGGUAUCUCAUUUCCGUGAAUACCCACAGUGCUUGUGCCACCUCCUCUUUUGAAACACCUUGGCUUGUGCCCUGGAAGCCUUGCUCCUCUCAAAAACAUCUCGCCGGGCACUUUGGGAGGCCGGGGCAGGCAGAUCAUUUGAGGCCAGGAGUUCGAGACCAGCCUGGCCAACAUGGCAAAACCUCGUCUCUACUAAAAAUAUAAAAAUUAGCCGGGCGUGGUGGCAGCGCGCCUGUAAUUCCAGCUACUCAGGAGGCCGAGGCAUGAGAAUCGCUUGAGCCCAGGAGGCAGAGAUUGCAGUGAGUGGAGAUCGCGCCAUUGUACUCCACCUUGGAAAUUACGACUUUGCAUGGAGAAAGUUGACCAGAAAGCUCCAGAAUACAUCAGGAUGGCAGCAUCAUUAAAUGCUGGGGAGACAACCUACAGUCUGGAACAUGCCAGUGACCUUCGAGUGGAA
RNAcentral lists this small RNA (532 nucleotides) under Pan troglodytes (chimpanzee). Its description in RNAcentral is "processed transcript". The record is from RNAcentral. Lineage: Eukaryota; Metazoa; Chordata; Mammalia; Primates; Hominidae.